CCACAAUCAAACAAGUGGGUCUCGGUGCCAUGCCUAGAUUGGUAAAAAUCAAUGACACCCAUUAAGACCUGAUUAACAAAAUAAGAAGAAUCAAAAGAUCCAAUUAGAAGAGUAUUUUGUAUUAGACAAGUGUGUGACAGAAAAAUAAAACUCAGAGGUAAAGGGAGAUGGGAAACAGAGUGAAGAAGAGUGACGUACGAGGCAAACGGCCUUUCAUUCUUCAUUUUGCAUAUUGUAUUUUCAUUCUUCAUUCUUUUCUCCAACUAGGAACAAGGAACCUACAAGCAGAUUUAGAUUAGAAGAUAGUAAUGAACAAUGCAUGGUCUUCUCCUUUCAAGAUGAUACCAAGAAAGAAAGAAGUUGGAGAAUCGAAGAUUGAAGAUACCUGGGGAGACAGCGAGUGAGCGAAAGAGGAAACAAGCAGAGUGAACCCUAGUGAUAGGGCUUGCUUCACCAGCAUUAGCCUCUGAGUCUGACGCUGUUGUUCAGAAGAGGGUUUGGGUGAGAUUGGAGUUAAGUUUGGUUGAGUGUAGUGAAACGAAGAAAGAAUUAAUUAAUGUUGAAAAG
RNAcentral lists this long non-coding RNA (567 nucleotides) under Lotus japonicus. RNAcentral's name for it is "long non-coding RNA (LJAP_LNC001152)". Lineage: Eukaryota; Viridiplantae; Streptophyta; Magnoliopsida; Fabales; Fabaceae. The record is from RNAcentral.